AAUCAGUUCACCAUAUAUAUAAGAGUGUAUUUCUGGACUCUCAGUUCUAUUCUGUUGAUCUCUGUGUCUGUGUUUUGUUUGUUUGUUUGUUUGUUUUUUAAGAGGUGGAGUCUCGCUCUGUUGCCCAGGCUGGAGUGUAGUGGCGUGAUCUCGGCUCACUGCAACCUCCGCCUCCCGGGUUCACGCCAUUCUCCUGCCUCAGCCUCCCGAGUAGCUGGGAUUACGGGCGCCCGCCACCACGCCGGGCUAAUUUUUUGUAUUUUUUAGUGGAGACGGGGUUUCAACAUGUUAGCCAGGAUGGUCUCGAUCUCCUGACCUUGUGAUCCGCCCGCCUCGGCCUCCCAAAGUGCUGGGAUUACAAGCGUGAGCCACCGCGC
Molecule: long non-coding RNA, 377 nt
Filed under: Homo sapiens (human)
Lineage: Eukaryota; Metazoa; Chordata; Mammalia; Primates; Hominidae
Description: HSALNT0384139
Source: RNAcentral